AUGUCUCGAAGCCAUCGUCAAGUUUGCUACUGGGGUGGUCAAGGUGUUUGGACCAAAGUAAUUGACAGAACCAACUGCCGAAGACACAACACGGCUCAUGGCACUGUCAAAAGUCAGAGGAUAGCUAGGACCUCUGGAGUUGACACUUCGGGAUUUCCGGGUCUCACAAUGACAUCAACGUGCCACAUCCAUCUCCAUUGUUUGCAAGGUUAUGUGCGGGAAAAGCUCCUCCGUGUAACUAUAGUACUAUAUACCAUCAAUGGUCAUGGCUACAACAUGAGCUAUUAUCUUUGUGAUGGUAUCAAUCCUCGUGGGUGA
Molecule: ribosomal RNA, 318 nt
Filed under: Triticum aestivum (bread wheat)
Lineage: Eukaryota; Viridiplantae; Streptophyta; Magnoliopsida; Poales; Poaceae
Description: partial small subunit ribosomal RNA
Source: RNAcentral